AGGAAGAGGAGGGGAGGGGAGGGGGAGGAGCGGAGAGGAGAGAGAAGGGCAGAGGAGGGGAGGGCCGCGGUCAGUCCUCAGCUCUCCCUGGGCCGCCGUCCGCGCUCACACCCCCCUCCCGGCUGACUGGUCCCGUCUGGCUCCCGUCAGCUUCUCCCUGAAUCGCUCUGCUCGGCCUCGAGCUGACUCCGGCCAUCUGGUCUACCUCCAGCUCCUUCUCCAACUCCUUCCGUCUUCACCCGAGCUCGCUCUCUCUCUCUCUCUCUCUCUCUCUGCACCCUGUUUCCCUGUCUCUGCACAGUCUCUCUCUCUCUCUCUCUGCAGCCUUUUCUCUCUCUGCAGCCUUCUCUGCUGUCUCUCUCUCUACACCCUGUCUCUCUGUUUCUUUGUCUCUCUCUGUACCCUGUCUCUCUCUGUUUCUGUCUCUGUACCCUGUCUCUCUCUGCAGCCUGUCUCUGUCUCUCUCUCUCUACACCCUGUCUCUCUGUUUCUCUCUCUGUCUCUGUCUGUACCCUGUUUCCCUCUCUCUCUGCAGCCUUUGCUCUCUCUCUGCAGCCUUCUCCGUCUCUGCAGCCUGUCUCCCUGUCUCUCUCUGCACCUUUUCCCUCUCUCUCUGUUUCUCUCUCUGCAGCCUAUCUCUUUGUCUGUCUCUCCGUUUCUGUCUCUGUACCCUGUCUCUCUCUCUGCAGCCUUCUCUGUCUCUGCAGCCUGUCUCCCUGUCUCUCUUUCUCUCUAUCUAAACCCUGUCUCUCUGUUUUUCUCUCUGGACCCUCUCUCUGUCUCUCUCUGCACCCUGUUUCCCUCUCUCUGACUCUCUGUUUCUCUCUGUGUUUCUCUCUCUGCACCCUGUCUCCCUGUCUCUCUCUCCAUUUCUGUCUCAGUACAAUAUCUCUCUCUCUGCAGCCUUCUCUCUGUCUCUGCAGCUUGUCUCCCUGUCUCUCUCUCUCUACACUCUGUCGCUCUGUCUCUCUCUCUGGAGCCUCUCUCUAUCUCUGUCUCUCUCUCUCUCUGUUUCUCUUUCUGCAGCCUUCUCUCUCUGUCUCUCUCUGCACUGUCUCCCUGUCUCUCUUUCCAUUUCUGUCUCUGUACCGUAUCUCUCUCUCUGCAGCCUUCUCUCUCUCUCUGCAGCCUGUCUCCCUGUCUCUCUCUGUCUCUACACCCUGUCUCUCUGUUUCUCUCCCUGGACCCUCUCUCUCUCUCUGUCUCUGUCUCUCUCUGCACCCUGUCUCCCUGUCUCUCUCUCCGUUUCUGUCUCUGUACCCUAUCUCUCUCUCUGCAGCCUUCUCUCUGUCUCUGCAGCCUGUCUCC
This 1308-nucleotide long non-coding RNA is filed under the name Meriones unguiculatus (Mongolian gerbil). RNAcentral's name for it is "lncRNA (ENSMUGG00000001813.1)". Lineage: Eukaryota; Metazoa; Chordata; Mammalia; Rodentia; Muridae. The record is from RNAcentral.